CUAGAAAAUACGGCCUGUGCUUCACUCCAAUUAUUAUCCAGCAUGCUGAAGGAGAUCAAACUGAUCAACUGGUCCUCGUAAAGUAGACACGCCUGAGACAGCUUCCACGGUGAGAAUCAGACUGAAAGCUUGUGGGGGAAACACACUUCGACGUGAAACAUCUGACACUGAGUGGCGGCUGCUGUUCAUGGUUGCCCAGUCGUUACUAGGCAACCACAACGUGCACGCUGCGAUGACGAGAACGCUGCGAUACAACAAGUUGCGAUGCAGUAGUGGAAAGAUAAAUGGAUUAGCCAGCAAAUCAAGUCUCCUCCCCGGGUAUUUUCUUUGGUAUUGGAGGAGUUGUGAGAGGAGCAGCCAGACAAGGCCCCGGCGGGGAGAGACCUCUCGCCACAAGCGGUUCCGUCGCAGGUCAAGGUCACGCCGGAAGUGGCGCUUGACAGGUCCAAGCGGUUGUUUUGCUCAACGCCUCUCUCGCUGCCCCGGAGUGGAAUGUGAUGGAAAGAGGGAUCAGCCUCUGUGACCCCCGGUCGUCCCCCGGUAACCACCAGAGCUGCCUGGGAUGCUCGGGGCGAGUAACAUAAGACAGAUUCUAGGAGACACUCCCGGUGUGGCACGCUGAGCCCCCCCCCCAGACCCCUUAUCUGUCUCUGGAAUACCUUCAGAGCGCACGUAGACGCGCCAGCCUUGGACCACGGGACACCUCAAGGCACCACUUUCCUCUCUGCCACAUCUGUGUUUG
This is a long non-coding RNA of Gasterosteus aculeatus aculeatus (three-spined stickleback), 742 nucleotides long. The record is from Ensembl. Lineage: Eukaryota; Metazoa; Chordata; Actinopteri; Perciformes; Gasterosteidae.